Molecule: long non-coding RNA, 626 nt
Organism: Solanum dulcamara
Lineage: Eukaryota; Viridiplantae; Streptophyta; Magnoliopsida; Solanales; Solanaceae
Exons: 3
Source: RefSeq, a predicted model, not a curated record
AAGAGGGCCUUAAGGUAUUUAAAAGGGACUGUGAACUAUGGUGUGUUUUACAAAAAGGGAGGAACUAGUGAUUUGGUGGAAUUUACCGAUAGUGAUUAUGCUGGUGAUAUGGGUCAUCUAGAAAGCAACCCAUUGUCACUUUGUCAACCACGGUAGCUAAAUUUUAUAGCUGCGAUAUGUGCCUGGCAAGCUAUUUGGAUGAGAUGGGUACUGAAAAAAAUCGAUCAUAUUCAGAAACCGGAGUUUAGUUGAAGGAUUGUUUUGACAGCUGUGAUAGGAUUUUUGGGGUCAGCUUAUAGUACUGUGGAUGGUGUUGGUGGGGGUGGCAUUUUUGUCCCUAUGCUUACUUUGCUUCUUAGAUUUGAUACCAAGUCUGCUGCUGCUAUUUCCAAAUGACUAUAAUGUAGAUGGAGAGCUUUCAUUGACCAAGUUCUCUUAUUUGGUUCAUACACUAGCAACUAAAAAGGUUCUCAACUGAAGAUCAUCUCAACUAUACUUAUAGUUCUUAUUAACUCUGAUAGUUUAUUCUACUUCUUUCAACUUGGGGAUUAAAAAGUGAAGGAAUUCAAGUUGUAGAUGAAGUGUUUAAUGAAAGUUCUAAGCAAACUACUGCUUGAUUGAUCAAA